This 357-nucleotide long non-coding RNA is filed under the name Cyanistes caeruleus (blue tit). RNAcentral's name for it is "lncRNA (ENSCCEG00000022791.1)". Lineage: Eukaryota; Metazoa; Chordata; Aves; Passeriformes; Paridae. The record is from RNAcentral.
AUGGUGUACGUGGACUCAAGGGAUCCAAAGGUGAAAAGGGUGAAGAUGGUUUUCCAGGAUUUAAAGGUGACAUGGGUCUUAAAGGUGACCGGGGAGAAAUUGGUCAGCCAGGUCCACGAGGAGAAGAUGGCCCAGAAGGUCCAAAAGGUCGAGCUGGUCCAUCUGGGGACCCAGGUGCUGCUGGUCCAGCUGGGGAAAAGGGUAAGCUUGGUGUACCAGGACUGCCAGGAUAUCCAGGAAGACAAGGUCCAAAGGGCUCAACUGGUUUCCCAGGAUUUCCAGGUGCCAAUGGAGAGAAAGGUGCAAGGGGAUUGCAUGGCAAACCAGGCCCCAGAGGACAGCGAGGACCAACAGUAA